UGGGGAAUAUUGGACAAUGGGCGAAAGCCUGAUCCAGCCAUGCCGCGUGUGUGAAGAAGGUCUUCGGAUUGUAAAGCACUUUAAGUUGGGAGGAAGGGCAGUAAGCGAAUACCUUGCUGUUUUGACGUUACCGACAGAAUAAGCACCGGCUAACUCUGUGCCAGCAGCCGCGGUAAUACAGAGGGUGCAAGCGUUAAUCGGAAUUACUGGGCGUAAAGCGCGCGUAGGUGGUUCGUUAAGUUGAAUGUGAAAGCCCCGGGCUCAACCUGGGAACUGCAUCCAAAACUGGCGAGCUAGAGUAGGGCAGAGGGUGGUGGAAUUUCCUGUGUAGCGGUGAAAUGCGUAGAUAUAGGAAGGAACACCAGUGGCGAAGGCGACCACCUGGGCUCAUACUGACUCUGAGGUGCGCACGCGUGGGUAGCAAACAGG
This 429-nucleotide ribosomal RNA is filed under the name Pseudomonadota bacterium. Its description in RNAcentral is "Proteobacteria bacterium partial 16S ribosomal RNA". It matches the Rfam family "Bacterial small subunit ribosomal RNA", at positions 355 to 776 of the family's 1533-position model. The record is from RNAcentral. Lineage: Bacteria; Pseudomonadati; Pseudomonadota.